UGGCUCUCGCAUCGAUGAAGAACGCAGCGAAAUGCGAUAAGUAAUGUGAAUUGCAGAAUUCAGUGAAUCAUCGAAUCUUUGAACGCACCUUGCGCCCUUUGGUAUUCCGAAGGGCAUGCCUGUUUGAGUGUCAUUAAAUUCUCAACUUCAAAAGCUUUGUCUUUUUGAAGCUUGGAUGUGAAGGCUUGCUGGCAUUUCCAAAUGCUUCAGCUCCUUUGAAAUGCAUUAGUGGACCCGUUUGUGUUCAGCCUUAGUGUGAUAAUUAUCUACGCUAUGGUGUUUGAAUGCUUGCUCAUUAGAACUUCGAAGUGUUUCACGACAUUUUCGGUAUGGGAAGUUGCGAGUUUAACUUUGCUCUUUCUGUCUAUUGAGUGUGGUUUGUCUGCUUAUAACUGUCUACUCGUGGACAAUAUUUGAAACAUUUGACCUCAAAUCAGGUAGGACUACCCGCUGA
This 454-nucleotide unclassified non-coding RNA is filed under the name uncultured fungus. RNAcentral describes it as "partial contains 5.8S ribosomal RNA and internal transcribed spacer 2". The stretch from base 1 to 133 matches the Rfam family "5.8S ribosomal RNA", at positions 22 to 154 of the family's 154-position model. The record is from RNAcentral. Lineage: Eukaryota; Fungi.